UGGGGAAUAUUGGACAAUGGGGGGAACCCUGAUCCAGCCAUGCCGCGUGUGUGAAGAAGGCCUUAUGGUUGUAAAGCACUUUAAGCGAGGAGGAGGGUACUGGUAUUAAUACUACCAGGUACUGGACGUUACUCGCAGAAUAAGCACCGGCUAACUCUGUGCCAGCAGCCGCGGUAAUACAGAGGGUGCGAGCGUUAAUCGGAUUUACUGGGCGUAAAGCGUGCGUAGGCGGCUAAUUGAGUCGGAUGUGAAAUCCCCGAGCUUAACUUGGGAAUUGCAUUCGAUACUGGUUAGCUAGAGUGUGGGAGAGGAUGGUAGAACUCCAGGUGUAGCGGUGAAAUGCGUAGAGAUCUGGAGGAAUACCGAUGGCGAAGGCAGCCAUCUGGCCUAACACUGACGCUGAGGUACGAAAGCAUGGGGAGCAAACAGG
Molecule: ribosomal RNA, 430 nt
Filed under: Pseudomonadota bacterium
Lineage: Bacteria; Pseudomonadati; Pseudomonadota
Description: Proteobacteria bacterium partial 16S ribosomal RNA
Rfam family: Bacterial small subunit ribosomal RNA
Source: RNAcentral